AUGGGAUGGAGUACCAGUUUCUGGAUCAACCAUCUCAUUGUCCCAAUCAAUAAAUUUGGCAUACAAACUUUUUACAAGAUCCAAUGAAACCUUUAUUGAAAUGGGAAUCAUUAUGGAACAAAGAAGCUCAAACCGAAGAGGGAUGACCAGUAACUCGUACCAUGGACCUUCAUUCGGAUAUUGGACAUACCAUAGCUUGCGUGCUUCUGUAUCUUUCCAGACAUUCCCCGCAAUACCCAGAACAAUAACAACAACUAUCUGAAAAACAAAUAUUGCACCCGUCAAUUUGUCAAUCAUGGCAUCCAUUGCUGUAAGCUUUGG
This 321-nucleotide unclassified non-coding RNA is filed under the name Hevea brasiliensis (rubber tree). Lineage: Eukaryota; Viridiplantae; Streptophyta; Magnoliopsida; Malpighiales; Euphorbiaceae. The record is from RNAcentral.